RNAcentral lists this ribosomal RNA (521 nucleotides) under Burkholderia cenocepacia. Its description in RNAcentral is "partial 23S ribosomal RNA". It matches the Rfam family "Bacterial large subunit ribosomal RNA", at positions 1 to 563 of the family's 2925-position model. The record is from RNAcentral. Lineage: Bacteria; Pseudomonadati; Pseudomonadota; Betaproteobacteria; Burkholderiales; Burkholderiaceae.
GUCAAGCGAACAAGUGCAUGUGGUGGAUGCCUUGGCGAUCACAGGCGAUGAAGGACGCGGUAGCCUGCGAAAAGCUACGGGGAGCUGGCAAACGAGCUUUGAUCCGUAGAUGUCCGAAUGGGGAAACCCACUCCUUUUGGAGUAUCCAUGGCUGAAUACAUAGGCCAUGCGAAGCGAACGCGGUGAACUGAAACAUCUAAGUAACCGCAGGAAAAGAAAUCAACCGAGAUUCCCAAAGUAGUGGCGAGCGAAAUGGGAUGAGCCUUGCACUCUUUAUUUGUAUUGUUAGCCGAACGCUCUGGAAAGUGCGGCCAUAGCAGGUGAUAGCCCUGUAGGCGAAAACAGUAUGAAAGAACUAGGUGUGCGACAAGUAGGGCGGGACACGUGAAAUCCUGUCUGAAGAUGGGGGGACCAUCCUCCAAGGCUAAAUACUCGUGAUCGACCGAUAGUGAACCAGUACCGUGAGGGAAAGGCGAAAAGAACCCCGGGAGGGGAGUGAAAUAGAUCCUGAAACCGCAUGC